RNAcentral lists this transfer RNA (103 nucleotides) under Daphnia magna. It matches the Rfam family "tRNA". Rfam says of the family: Transfer RNA (tRNA) molecules are approximately 80 nucleotides in length. The record is from Rfam by way of RNAcentral. Lineage: Eukaryota; Metazoa; Arthropoda; Branchiopoda; Diplostraca; Daphniidae.
CCGUCGAUAGCUCAGUUGGUAGAGCGGUGGACUGUAGAAAUAGUUGACUUAAGUGGGCAAAGAUGAUAUCCAUAGGUCGCUGGUUCAACUCCGGCUCGACGGA